RNAcentral lists this ribosomal RNA (444 nucleotides) under uncultured bacterium. RNAcentral's name for it is "bacterial SSU rRNA". It matches the Rfam family "Bacterial small subunit ribosomal RNA", at positions 355 to 796 of the family's 1533-position model. The record is from RNAcentral.
UAAGGAAUAUUGGUCAAUGGACGAAAGUCUGAACCAGCCAUGCCGCGUGAAGGAUGAAGGCCCUCUGGGUUGUAAACUUCUUUUAUAGGGGACGAAAAAAGGGCAUUCUUGCUCACUUGACGGUACCCUAGGAAUAAGCACCGGCUAACUCCGUGCCAGCAGCCGCGGUAAUACGGAGGGUGCAAGCGUUAUCCGGAUUUACUGGGUUUAAAGGGUGCGUAGGUGGGUCUGUAAGUCAGUGGUGAAAUCUCCGGGCUUAACCCGGAAAUUGCCAUUGAUACUAUAGGUCUUGAAUCAUCUGGAGGUAAGCGGAAUAUGUCAUGUAGCGGUGAAAUGCUUAGAUAUGACAUAGAACACCAAUUGCGAAGGCAGCUUACUACGGAUGUAUUGACACUGAGGCACGAAAGCGUGGGGAUCAAACAGGAUUAGAUACCCCCGUAGUCC